AAGCUUAAAACUCAUGAAGUUCAUCAUAUUCAUCAUCCCAUGAAAGUGUACGGCCGCACACCUUCAUAUGGGGGCAGCACACAUUCAAAACUCCCAAGUAUGAAGAGCAUACACUUCAAAAAUCAACAUAUGGACUCAAAUGAGGAGUGUACGGCCGCACACUCUUGUGUACGGCCGCACACACCCUCUGUACAGCCGUACGCUCUUGUGUUCUGCCUCACACACACUCCUGGCCGCACUCCCCAGCCGCACACUCAUUUUCAAGACCAUACACCCACUCUAAUACCCAUUUUUGGCCCUAAACUUGCAUAAAUCAUUAAGUUUGGAUCAUAGGACGCUUAUUCUUAGUAAUUCCAAGCCCUAAGGAUGUUUUCCCACCAUGUUAGUCAUGGAAAAACCUUAGUUCUAACUCAUUUAUGUGUCAUCACAUGAAAAAUAGGGCCAUAGGAGUUCAGGGCAUCCGUUGACACUCAAUCUCUACAUUAAGCGGUGAGUUCAUACCCCUACUCUUUUUCACUGUUUUUCACUGUUUUUAGGGGGGGAUACACACGCAAAGUACAAGGGAUUACUUGUACUCAAAACUUGUUUUCGUGUGUGUGUUUCACAUAUUAUAUGCUUUUAAUACUGAUUGAUACAACUGAUAACUGUUUGAACAUGCAGAUCAAGUAAACAUAUGUUUUUGAAAUGGGUUUAUAAACUGUUGUGUUUUAUAUAUUUCACAAAUAAUUUCCACAUUUUAUUAGUUAAAAGCAUGACAUUGGAACAUUUGAAACAUAAAACUUGUACACCGUAUAUCCUCGGUAACACUCCACAGAGAUAUGCGAGUGGAGGACUAUCAUAUUAUUACUAGUAAAUUUGUUAGUCCUGUAUGAUUGGAGACACGUCCUCGGUGAACACUCCACGGAGAUACGCGAGUGGAGGACUGCACCCGUAACCAGAAUCUCUGGGUUUAGAGAGUGUGACUUGAGUGUAUAGAUCUAUACGGGGGUGACUACCCCACACCUGGCUGCUAGCUACAGCCGAACCGAAAUGGUUCAAGGGUGACGAAAGUCAUAAGGUGAUGUGGACUACUUAUUGCCAUAUCUAGUCUAUCGUAUGGUUAUGGAACUCGUAAUUAGGAUAACAAUGAUUUACUUAAUAGUAAUAAUGAAUAACUUAACACAAUUUACAAGAUAACCAGGUUUCAAAAUACAUCUUUUACAUUGAUAACCAACAUUCAGGAAAAUAUGGGGCUUUCCUGGGAAACGUUUACAUAACUAGAAAAGUAUUAGAAGACGGAUAACUUUACAUCUGUUACAAUUGGUAAAAACACAAUCAGCAAAGUAUGUGACUUUCCUGGGGAUACAUUGGUACAUAACCAGAACAGUAUAACAAACCAGAUAACUUAACUGUACAUUUUCACAAGAGUAAUCGUAUUUUCAGUAUACAACUAUACUUUAUAUGUUGAGAACAAAAACCAAUCGUUUUAAGAAAAUAUGGGAUUUUCUUGGUGUGAGUAACAUUUUCAGAAACAAAAAGGAAACUUGAACACUUUCACAAAACAAAAAUCGCUUAUGAAUUCACCAGCGUUAUGCUGAUUUUCAAACCGCUUGUGUUCUCAAGUCAGCGUUAGAACAGGUACCCGAAGAUCAUUUUGUUCCAUGUGGGAGUGUGCAGAAGACUUGUCUUGUUUUGUUUAUAUAAACUAUGUAUCACAACUGUACAACUUACUUUUGAAACAAAUGUAAACUUUCCUAUAUGUAAUGUAAUGGUUGUUUUACUUUACUUAGUAUGUGCAUUGGAUUUGAUACUUAACAUGGAGUUAACCCCGAAAAUGUUUCCGCCUUCGGUUUUUCGGGGUGUGACAGAUUGGUAUCAGAGCCCUUGUUUAUAGUGAAUAAAGUAUACCGAACCUUACAUGGUAUAAAACUAUAAACACUAAAAGGGCCUAAGUGCUCUGAAUUAAAAGUAUCUUCAAACUAUAAGUAUUUUCAGAAGUAUACAAGUAUACCGAACCGUCGAGAUCCGUAACUACAAGUAGAACAAAACAUAAGUAAAUGGGUGUUGUGUACUACGGUUAAACCUGGGUAGUUAUGUAGUCGUGUCUAGGAUCAAUAUAGCCUGGCCAACUAUAUUCAUUCGAGACACGGCCAACAUGUGCUUGGGAGUGACUGUGGUAUGCGGCAUGCCUAAAACUUACCCUAAUACCACAAACAUUGAGCCAGUGUCGUAGCGAAUCAUGAAAUACUAUGGGAGUAUUUCUCGAGCCAAUCCUUCGUAGAAAUCCUCAUUCACGUAUAGAUCCUUGAUCAUUCUAUUAUCGAUAGUUUACUUGCUUUAGUAACUCUUUCUUGCUUUAUCGCUUAUUCGGAAUAUAUAUCUGUCAUAUCUCUCAAUUCUAUUCAGAGGACUUAUCAUCCUCUCUUUCUUGAUCUUAUUAGAUCAAGAUGCCUCCUAGAAAGAGACCCAGCUCCAAGACCAACAACCCUCCGCCACCACCUCCUCCUCAAAUUGACCCCGUGGUAUUUCAGGCAGUUGUUACCGUCGUGGUGGCAGCUGCUAUGUCCCAAUUAAAUACCCAUGGUUCCGGUGGUUCAGGAGGUGGUACUCAAACUCAGGAUCAAGAAAGCAAUCAGGGACACCGAAAGGAGGGUUCCUAUAACGACUUCAUGAAUGCGAAACCAACAUCCUUCGAUGGCACUGGAGGUGUCAUUUCCUUAUCCCGAUGGUUCGAGAAAAUCGAAUCCAUUUUCGAAAUCGAUGCCUGUGCGGAAUCUGAUAAGGUCAAAUUCGCAGCCUGUACCUUUCUCAACAAAGCCUUGACUUGGUGGAAUGGCCGAGUCAAAUCUCUGACCCUACCUAUAGCCAACGCCAUGGGCUGGGAAGCCAUGAAAGAACUCUUGAUAACCGAAUACUGCCCCCGUGGUGAAAUGCAGAAACUAGAGCACGAGCUCUGGAACCUGAAGAUGAAAGGUUCUGACAUUGCUGCAUACACUUCCCGAUUCGAUGAUCUCGCACUUCUCUGCCCGGGACUAGUCACUCCUGAAAGUAAAAAGAUCGAGAGGUUCAUUUGGGGAUUAACUCAACCAACAAAGGGUCAUGUCUUAGCUGCUCGUCCGGAUACCAAUGAUAGUGCCAAGACUUUAGCCCAAACCCUAAUUGAUCACGGUGAUAAUGUCGAUGAAACCACUACCACUCCUGAGCCGACCAAGAGUAGUGGUGAGAAAAGAAAAUUUUGGAAGAAGAAGAAGGGUCCAUCUUCCCAAGGGUCCUCCAAAAGACAGCAAACAGUAGCAGUCCAUGCUGCUACUACCCCCGUUGCUGCUAUUUUUGUUGUGGGAUCCACAGCUCCAACUCCUACCAGCCGAUAUGUUGGUAAUCUUCCCCUCUGUGACAAGUGCAAAUACCAUCAAAACCCCGGCCCCUGCCUAGAAUUAUCAUGUACCAAUUGUGGUAAGAAGGGGCACACGGUCUGAUUCUGUAAAGCUCCGGCCCAAUCGGCCAAUCAAUCAUCUGGAACAGGCGUUGGUCAAGCCUGCUAUAACUGUGGAGAGGUUGGGCACUUUAAAAGGACUGCCCGAAGAAGUCUACAGCCGAUAACACCGGGAGAGUCCUAGCCAUAGGACGGGAGGAAGCGGUCGCCAAUCCCACUAUUGUCUCGGGUACGUUCCUUCUCGACAACUCAUAUGCUAGUACUCUUUUCGAUUCGGGUGCUGAAAGAAGCUUUGUUAGUCAUUCGUUCAAACAUAACCUAAAACAUAAUCCCCAUCCUUUAACUGAAACGUUUACCGUCGAGAUGGCUAAUGGUAAGAAAGAAAGCGCUAACGAGAUAAUCGUAGGUUGUACCCUUACCCUGAACGACCAUUCAUUUCCUAUCGAUCUCAUGCCGGUUUCCAUAAAGAGCUUUGAUGUCAUCAUUAGCAUGGAUUGAUUGAGUCCCAAUCAUGCUGAUAUCCUCUGUUUCGAAAAAGCCAUCCGUCUCAACUUUCCUUUGGAUCAAACUCUCAUAAUCUAUGGUGAUAAACUCAGCUCCAAUCUUCGUAUCAUCUCCUGCAUCAAAGCUCAAAAGCUCCUGCGAAAGGAGUGCAUUGCAUUCUUGGCCCAUGUAAUCAACGAGAAACAGGAAGUUAAAGACCUUGCGAGCAUCCCCGAAGUCUGUAACUUUCCUGAUGUGUUUCCCGAAGAGCUUUUAGGAAUUCCUCCCGAGCGUCAGGUUGAGUUCCGUAUUGACCUAAUUCCUGGAGCUACUCCCGUAGCGAAGUCUCCGUAUCGCUUAGCUCCAGCAGAAAUGCAGCAGUUAUCCAACCAAUUCAAUGAGUUGCUCAGUAAAGGAUUCAUUAGACCGAGUUCCUCACCCUGGGGAGCUCCCGUAUUAUUUGUCAAGAAGAAAGAUGGAUCCUUUCGGAUGUGUAUCGAUUAUCGCGAGCUGAACAAGUUGACCGUCAAAAACCGAUAUCCUCUUCCGCGAAUAGAUGACCUCUUCGAUCAACUCCAGGGAGCCAGUUACUUCUCCAACAUAGACCUUCGAUCAGGGUACCAUCAGCUACGAGUUCAUGAGAGUGAUGUUUCCAAAACAGCUUUCAGAACUCGAUAUGGACACUACGAGUUCGUAGUGAUGCCCUUCGGUCUAACUAACGCACCGGCAGUGUUCAUGGACCUGAUGAACCGGGUGUGUCAUCCCUAUCUGGACAAGUUCGUCAUUGUAUUCAUUGAUGACAUACUUGUCUACUCCAGAAGCGAAGAAGAUCACAAACAGCACUUGAGGCUAGUGUUGGAAACCCUUAGAUCCGAGAAGUUGUACGCAAAAUUUUCCAAGUGUGAGUUCUGGAUUCGGAAGGUAACUUUCCUCGGUCACGUGGUAAGCGAGGAGGGUAUUCAUGUAGAUCCUUCCAAGAUUAAAGCGAUAGAGAAUUGGUCGGCACCGAAGACACCCACAGAAAUCCGGCAAUUCUUGGGUCUCGCCGGCUAUUAUCGGAGAUUUAUCCAGAACUUUUCCAGAAUCGCCAAACCCUUAACCACUCUAACACAGAAAGGUGUACCCUUUUGUUGGAGUGAUAAGCAAGAAACCGCGUUCCAGACGUUCAAGAAAGCCUUGUGCACCGCGCCUGUUCUGUCCCUACCCGAAGGGACAAAGGGCUUCGUUGUCUUCUGCGAAGCGUCCAAUCAAGGCUUAGGCUGUGUGCUUAUGCAAAGAGGAAAAGUAAUUGCUUAUGCCUCUAGACAACUGAAAGCACACGAGGUCAACUAUACCACACAUGACUUGGAAUUAGGAGCCGUAGUCUUUGCAUUGAAGAUUUGGAGACAUUACCUCUACGGAACCAAGUGCACGAUCUUCACUGACCAUAAGAGCCUGCAACACAUCUUUGAUCAGAAAGACUUGAACAUGAGGCAACGGCGAUGGGUAGAACUACUCAGCGAUUAUGAGUGUGAAAUCCGUUACCAUCCCGGCAAGGCCAAUGUGGUAGCAGAUGCCCUUAUCCGAAAGGAAAGUUCGGUCCGCAAAGUGAAGAACCAGACGAUGACCAUCCAUUCCAACUUACCCAUGCAAAUCCGAGAAGCCCAGUUAGAAGCCCUCAAACCCGAGAACGUGUCGAUCGAAGCCUUAAGAGGAAUGGAAAAGAAACUUGAGAUCAGGGGUGACGGAGUCUACUGCUUCAUGGAUCGAAUCUGGAUUCCAAAGUCCGUAGGAUUCAGGGAGAUUGUUAUGGAGGAAGCACACAAGACCAGAUACUCUGUUCACCCGGGUUCGGACAAGAUGUACCUGGAUCUCAAGAAACAAUACUGGUGGCCAAACAUGAAAACUGAGAUAACUAUAUUUGUGGGCAAGUGUCUGACUUGCGCCAAGGUUAAAGUUGAGCACCAGAAACCCCCGGGUCUGCUCCAACAGCCCGAGAUACCCGAAUGGAAAUGGGAGAUGAUUACCAUCGACUUCAUCANAAGUGUCUGAGUGGGUACGACACCAUUUGGGUAAUUGUCGAUCGUCUGACAAAUUCCGCCCACUUCAUCCCAAUCAAAGAAUCAUUCAAGAUGGAAAGACUCGCGCGAAUCUACAUCCAAGAGGUAGUUCGACUACACAGUGUACCUGCUUCCAUUAUCUCUGACCGAGAUAGCAGGUUUACCUCCAGAUUCUGGCAGUCUCUCCAGAAAGCCCUUGGAACCAAACUAAACAUGAGCAAGGCAUAUCAUCUUUAGACUGACGGACAAAGUGAGAGAACUAUCCAAACCCUGGAGGACAUGCUUAGAGCAUGUGUCAUUGAUUUUGAAAACUUGUGGGACACACAUCUGCCUUUGAUCGAGUUCUCAUACAACAAUAGUUACCACACCAGCAUCAGGGUUGCCCCGUUUGAAGCCUUAUACGGUCGUAAGUGUAGAUCCCCUAUGUGUUGGGCCGAGUUGGGGGACACACAGUUAGCCAAGAGUCGAAUCCCUGACAGUGCUCUCACUGGUCCUGAAAUCAUCCGCAAAACCACUGAGAAGAUCAUCCAAAUCCGAGAACGAUUGAAAGCUUCACGAGAUCGCCCUGGAAAGGCACAGUACGCUUUGGAAAGGCACAGUACGCUUUGGAAAGCGUGGGAAACUUAACCCUAGGUACAUUGGACCCUUUGAGAUCCUUGCCAGGAUCGGUCCGGUAACCUAUAAACUUCGUUUACCCCAUGAGCUCAGUAACAUCCAUCCCGUCUUCCAUGUUUCAAAUCUCAAUAAGUGCCUGUCCGAUGAAACCUUAGUAAUUCCUUUAGGCGAGAUCGAGAUCAAUGAAAACCUCAACUUCGUGGAGGAACCGAUCGAAAUCAUGGAUCGAGAAGUCAAACGUACAAAGCAAAGCCGCAUCCCGUUAGUGAAGGUCCAUUGGAAUGCCAAGCGGGGACCGGAGUUCACUUGGGAGCGUGAAGACUCGAUGAAGCAAAAAUAUCCACAUCUCUUUCCAGAUCCAUGAUUUGUAGCUUGACUUAUAUCUUAAUUUUGAAUUUCGGGACGAAAUUCCCUCUAACAGGGGGAUAAUGUAACAACCCGAAACUUCUAACCCAUGAAAUUGAUCUGUGUUUCAGCACUAAAACUUGAGUUUAUUGUCUUUUAUUAAAUCUUGUGAUUCCAUAUGGGUGCUUUAGACUUAGUAUAAUUUAGAUAUGAGUCUUAGGAAGGGUUGGAGAGUGUUCAGUAUCACAAAAUCGGGCCUAAACUCACCAAAUAAGGUAUGUGCGGCCACACACUUGUGUGUGCGGCCACACACCUGUGUGUACGGCCACACACCCAACCGCAAACACUCUCAACCUCACACCCAAUUCAAUUUAUGGAUGGAUACCUCUUCAUUCAAUCAUUUAGAUGUUCUCUUCCCUCUCUCUACUUUCUCUCUCUAAAUCAUCAAUCAAGAACACUUGGAAGGCUUCAUAAUCGUGAUCUACUUCAUCUUCAAGCUAAGUAUAGUGGUAAACACUUGAAUCCCAAGCUUAAAACUCAUUAUGUUCAUCAUAUUCAUCAUCCCAUGAAGGUGUACGGCCGCACACCUUCAUAUGGGGGCAGCACACAUUCAAAACUCCCAAGUNUCCAAACCUGAACGGCAGAAACGUUCGGGGGCGGAUGACUUCAUGUGGUAACGUAACAAAUGAAUACAUAGUAAAGAAAGCAAUACAACCAUCAUAUAUAUAAUUGAAAGUUUACAUUUGUCAAAAGGUACAUGUUCAAAACCAAUUACAUUAUGAUGUCAAAAUGUGAGAUUUAAGGGGCGCCGCAGCGUCCCUUCUUCAAAAACGUAUUGUUACCUGUAGUUACUGAAUCCCUGGGACAUACAAGUAAUUNGAUGGAAAAACCUUAGUUCUAACUCAUUUAUGUCACACCUCCAAACCUGAACGGCAGAAACGUUCGGGGGCGGAUGACUUCAUGUGGUAACGUAACAAAUGAAUACAUAGUAAAGAAAGCAAUACAACCAUCAUAUAUAUAAUUGAAAGUUUACAUUUGUCAAAAGUUACAUGUUCAAAACCAAUUACAAUAUGAUGUCAAAAUACGAGAUUAAACUGGCGCCGCAGCAUCCCUUCAUCAAAAGCAAAAUGAAUACCUGAAAUUUACUGAUUUCCUGGGACAUACAAGUAAUUUUGAAAGAGUAGAUCAGCAUUUAAGCUGGUGAGUUUCAUAAGUAUUUAAAUGACAAUGUUUGAAUGAAAUGAAAUGUUUUGUCCUUGUUUGUUUGUGUUUAGAAAAUCCUAUAUUUUCUACUAGUAUAAUAGUAGCCUUCACUCAAGACCAAUGUUUGUUUCUAAAAUGUAUGUAAGUGUAAAAUAACCAAUGAGUUUGAAAACCUUGUAAAUCAAUGCAUUUUUAAUACCCCUUGUGAGUUUUAUAACCAUACUAUCGACUCGGAAUGCCUAUACACAACGUUCUUCAGGCGUUGGAAUGUUAUGACGUUUGUCACCCCAAACGGUGGACUGCAGCUAACAGUCAGGGCGCGGGUUGUCAAGCCCGUAUAGAUCUAUACACAAACACCAUGCUCCCCCUCCAAGGGAUUCUGGUAUAUAAUACAGGACUUGAAAUGUGUACUCGAACGUACAUGAAGUUAGUGUCUCACAAAACCGUGGUAUAAAAACAGAUCUACUUGUUAAAAUGUUACGUUUGUUCUUGUAUACGAAAGUAAACUUCUUGAAAUUCAUGUUUCUAGUACAUAAGAGUUAGAAAUUUGUUCGUAAAACUAUACCUAUUAUAGUUUUCUAAAAGUGUGUCUUGUUUGUUUAGAAAUACCUAGAAAAGGAAUCACUUGUUUAUGAAAGCAUAGAUUUUUGGUGUAGAGUCUAAGAUAGACAAGAAUAAUCUAAGAAAAGUUUAGUUUAUACAUGCAUUACAACAAAUUUAUAUUUCAAAAGAUAGAAUGCUAUUUUAACAUAUGUUAUAUAUAUGAAAGUUCCUUAAAGGUUUAUAAAUCGCAUGUGAUUUGGAUAUAUAACAGCAUAUAAAAGAGUUUCUUUAUGUAACACACGAUAAUACUCGUGUGUUUUACUUGUAAUCCCCCCCUUGAAAGCAUAUAAAAGAAUUUAUAAAAUAUUUAAAAGGUAAAUUAAGGGGUAUGAACUCACUUGAAAGUUUGAAGAUACCGAGAUGGAAAACCGGGCAGAGUUUCGUCUCAGGAAAUGGAUUUUUCUCGAGAUCUCGGGAAUCUGGGGAGUAAAAUCGACCUUCGGGACUUGAGCAAAAUGACCAGGGCUUCGGGAUAGUGCCGGCACGGAAAUCGAGGCAAUAUCGUGAGAGAAAUGAGAGAAAUGGGGUGAAUUUCCCGGAAACCUCGCAUCUCUAUUUAUAGGGGUCUGAGAAGCCUCGGUAUGCGGGGCUUACUUGUGCGUCACCCGUGACCGAGUCCUCGACUGCUUCGCUUCGGAUGGGACGGAUCGGCUAGGCUCGCAUAGGGGCGACGUGGACGGACCGAGACCAAGGCCUUCGCGUACGCGGGGCAUACGGGGUUACGCGGUGCGUAACUCGGAUGAGAACGUUGACUCCCCCUUCGGAUAUUACCAUAUUUUUGAUUUAAAUUUAUAUAUAAUUUAUUUAAUAAACUUCAAAAAAUCAUAUCUUCUUCAUACGAACUCCGUUUUCGAUGGUCUUUAUAUCCACGCGUAGGUGAGACUACGCUCUACAACUUUAGUUUAGACUCCGUUGGCAAAUUAUGAAAUUAUUGUUAUUAUUUAUUUAUAAAAUGUCGUGAUUAAGGAAUUUCUUUAAAAAUUCAUAACUUCUUUAUCUGAAGUCGGUUUUUGCCAGACUUUUUACCGUUGAAAUACCAUUGUCGAGACCUUCGAUUCUCGUUUAGGUCAUUCUGGCCAAAAGUCGCUCGAUCUCCGAUUCGAGUUUUUAGCUGUCUGCUGCUAAGCCGAACAUGGAAAAAUCUUAACUUCAAUAUACGAAGCCGGAUUUGGGCAUUCUUUUUACGUACGAUCCCGGUUUAAUGAUAUUAAACAUAGUAGGUAGUUAAAUAGAAACUUUUUGGACAUUUUAUUAUCAAAGUUAAUUUCUUUAACUCAAAAGUGGUUACAAUACUUGACUUAUUAGGCCAUUAUAAAGAGUUGAAAUAUUGGGUUGUCACAAUUUAUGUGUCAUCACAUGAAAAAUAGGGCCAUAGGAGUUCAGAGCAUCCAUUAACACUCAAUCUCUACAUUAAGCGGUGAGUUCAUACCCCUACUCUUUUUCACUGUUUUUCACUGUUUUUAGGGGGGGGGGGGGAANGAUUUUCACUGUUUUCAGGGGGGGAAACACAAGCAAAGUACAAGGGAUUACUUGUACUCAAAACUUGUUUUCGUGUGUGUGUUUCACAUAUUAUAUGCUUUUAAUAUUGAUUGAUACAACUGAUAACUCUUUGAACAUGCAGAUCAAGUAAACAUAUGUUUGUGAAAUGGGUUUAUAAACUAUUGUGUUUUAUAUAUUUCACAAAUAAUUUCCACAUUUUAUCAGUUAAAAGCAUGACAUUAGAACAUUUGAAACAUAAAACUUGUACACCGUAUAUCCUCAGUAACACUCCAUAGAGAUAUGCGAGUGGAGGACUAUCAUAUUAUUACUAGUAAACUUGUUAGUCCUGUAUGAUUGGAGACACAUCCUCGGUGAACACUCCAUAGAGAUACGCGAGUGGAGGACUGCACCCGUAACCAGAAUCUCUGGGUUUAGAGAGCGUGACUUGAGUGUAUAGAUCUAUACGGGGCUGACUACCCCACACCUGGAUGCUAGCUACAGCCGAACCAAAAUGGUUCAAGGGUGACGAAAGUCAUAAGGUGAUGUGGACUACUUAUUGCCAUAUCUAGUCUAUCGUAUGAUUAUGGAACUCGCAAUUAGGAUAACAGUGAUUUACUUAAUACUAAUAAUGAGUAACUUAACACAAUUUACAAGAUAACCAGGUUUCAGAAUACAUCUUUUACAUUGAUAACCAACAUUCAGGAAAAUAU
This 10889-nucleotide long non-coding RNA is filed under the name Lactuca sativa (garden lettuce). RNAcentral's name for it is "long non-coding RNA (LSAT_LNC001318)". Lineage: Eukaryota; Viridiplantae; Streptophyta; Magnoliopsida; Asterales; Asteraceae. The record is from RNAcentral.